GGGGAAUUAAAAUGGCAGUUGCUAAAGAAACUAUGAAAGAACAUCUUAGAGGCAAGAUAGAUUUGAAAUUUUCAGGUAAAACAUGUUUAAAAAUGGAACCAGUCAUCUAAUGGUUAUGCAUCUCAUUACCAAUUUUCCUGGAGGACCUGGAGGCAAUUCUAUUCUUAAUAAUUUCAAGAUAUGUGUAUAAAUAUCAACUUGGCACCCCACCAAAAUGGCUUAGAGGUUUGCAUCACUUCAUAAGCCCUUUCAUUUUUCAUGCUUGGCCGAUGUGGGACUUGUUCCCAUCCUUCACAUUCCAAAACUCUCCCUCAAGUGCAAUUGGGCUGGACCUGUUGAGACCCGAUUGUCACUUGGCAUUACAUGGGAUGGCCUAUCUAGUUGGAUCUAGCAUCUUCUGACUCUAUCCGUUAGGAACUAGCACACUAGGCUAACCGAUGGAUUCACCUGAGUCUAGCUCGAUUAGCUCAAGUCAAAUGCCAGGCUUGCUGCAGCCCAACCCAUCAUGCUUUCGAGUCCUAGAACUACUGUCAUUGGAUCUCAUCACUUUGAUAUCAUGUUUGAGUUCGUGGGCUUGGGAAGUGGAGCACAACACGAGCCAACCUGCUAAAGGAAUUGGGCUAAACUUGGUACACCUCCACCAAAAUGGCCUAAGCCAUUUUAGUUUGGCUCGCCAAUACUUAUAUGUCAACCUAUGUUAUUUGGACUCAGGUAUGGAUGUAGGAAAUGGUACAUAUCCGUAUGUCAAACUUGUGAGCUUGCUAAAUAGAAAAUACGAGAAUAUGGAUGUAAAUUUAGACGUGGGUGCUUAGAUAUGUUAUUUAGAUCAAAAGGGUUGAAAUAAUCUAUCUAAUAGGGGUCAACCACAAUUAAUUUUGAUCUAUAACCAUUGGAUUCGCGAAAUAUUCAAUGAUU
RNAcentral lists this unclassified non-coding RNA (915 nucleotides) under Hevea brasiliensis (rubber tree). Lineage: Eukaryota; Viridiplantae; Streptophyta; Magnoliopsida; Malpighiales; Euphorbiaceae. The record is from RNAcentral.